UACGUAGGUGGCAAGCGUUGUCCGGAUUUACUGGGCGUAAAGGGCGUGCAGGCGGUCUGUUAAGUGCAGGGUGAAAGCUCCCGGCUCAACUGGGAGAGGUCCUUGCAUACUGGCGGACUUGAGGGGGGUAGAGGAAAGUGGAAUUCCCGGUGUAGUGGUGAUAUGCGUAGAUAUCGGGAGGAACACCUGUGGCGAAGGCGGCUUUCUGGGCCCUACCUGACGCUGCGACGCGAAAGCGUGGGGAGUGAACCGG
Molecule: ribosomal RNA, 253 nt
Filed under: uncultured bacterium
Lineage: Bacteria
Description: partial 16S ribosomal RNA
Rfam family: Bacterial small subunit ribosomal RNA
Source: RNAcentral